UACGUAGGUGACAAGCGUUGUCCGGAUUUACUGGGCGUAAAGAGCGCGCAGGCGGCCGAUCAAGUCGAGUGUGAAAGCCCCCGGCUCAACUGGGGAGGGUCAUUCGAUACUGAUCGACUCGAAGGCAGGAGAGGGUAGUGGAAUUCCCGGUGUAGUGGUGAAAUGCGUAGAUAUCGGGAGGAACACCAGUGGCGAAGGCGGCUAACUGGUCCGGUUCUGACGCUGAGGCGCGAAAGCGUGGGGAGCAAACAGG
Molecule: ribosomal RNA, 253 nt
Filed under: uncultured bacterium
Lineage: Bacteria
Description: partial 16S ribosomal RNA
Rfam family: Bacterial small subunit ribosomal RNA
Source: RNAcentral